This 118-nucleotide small nuclear RNA is filed under the name Lytechinus variegatus (green sea urchin). RNAcentral's name for it is "U5 spliceosomal RNA". It matches the Rfam family "U5 spliceosomal RNA". From Rfam's summary of the family: U5 RNA is a component of both types of known spliceosome. The precise function of this molecule is unknown, though it is known that the 5' loop is required for splice site selection and p220 binding, and that both the 3' stem-loop and the Sm site are important for Sm protein binding and cap methylation. The record is from RNAcentral. Lineage: Eukaryota; Metazoa; Echinodermata; Echinoidea; Temnopleuroida; Toxopneustidae.
AAUUAGAGGGUUCACUGCAUCACGUACAAAUCUUUCGCCUUUUACUAAAAAUUUCCGUGCAGAGGACCAAUAAGAUCGGAAUUUAACAAUUUAUUUCCGCUUUGUCCUUUGAUGAGGU